AUUGAACGCUGGCGGCAUGCCUUACACAUGCAAGUCGAACGGUAACAGGUCUUCGGAUGCUGACGAGUGGCGAACGGGUGAGUAAUACAUCGGAACGUGCCUAGUAGUGGGGGAUAACUACUCGAAAGAGUGGCUAAUACCGCAUGAGAUCUACGGAUGAAAGCAGGGGAUCGCAAGACCUUGUGCUACUAGAGCGGCCGAUGGCAGAUUAGGAAGUUGGUGGGAUAAAAGCUUACCAAGCCGACGAUCUGUAGCUGGUCGGAGAGGACGAUCAGCCACACUGGGACUGGGCCACGGCCCAGACUCCUACGGGAGGCAGCAGUGGGGAAUGUUGGACAAGGGGCGCAAGCCUGAUCCAGCAAUGCCGCGUGCAGGAUGAAGGCCUUCGGGUUGUAAACUGCUUUUGUACGGAACGAAAAGCCCCGGGUUAAUACCCUGGGGUCAUGACGGUACCGUAAGAAUAAGCACCGGCUAACUACGUGCCAGCCGCCGCCGUAA
RNAcentral lists this ribosomal RNA (498 nucleotides) under uncultured bacterium. Its description in RNAcentral is "partial 16S ribosomal RNA". It matches the Rfam family "Bacterial small subunit ribosomal RNA", at positions 30 to 523 of the family's 1533-position model. The record is from RNAcentral.